GGUUCGUUGGUGUAGUGGCUAACAUACCGGAUUGUCGAUCCGGCGCAACGGGUUCGAUUCCCGUACGAACCG
RNAcentral lists this transfer RNA (72 nucleotides) under Williamsia sp. RNAcentral describes it as "tRNA-Asp". It matches the Rfam family "tRNA". From Rfam's summary of the family: Transfer RNA (tRNA) molecules are approximately 80 nucleotides in length. Their secondary structure includes four short double-helical elements and three loops (D, anti-codon, and T loops). Lineage: Bacteria; Bacillati; Actinomycetota; Actinomycetes; Mycobacteriales; Nocardiaceae. The record is from RNAcentral.